GCAGGGAAUCUUGCGCAAUGGGCGAAAGCCUGACGCAGCGACACCGCGUGGGGGAUGAAUGUCUUAGGAUUGUAAACCCCUUUUAUGAGGGAAGAGCAAGGACGGUACCUCAUGAAUAAGGAUCGGCUAACUACGUGCCAGCAGCCGCGGUAAUACGUAGGAUUCGAGCGUUGUCCGGAUUUAUUGGGCGUAAAGGGUGUGUAGGCGGCAUGGCAAGUCUCAUGUGAAAUCUCCCGGCUCAACUGGGAGGGGUCAUGGGAAACUGCCAAGCUGGAGGGCAGCAGAGGAAAGCGGAAUUCCGGGAGUAGUGGUGAAAUGCGUAGAUACCCGGAGGAACACCCGAGGCGAAGGCGGCUUUCUGGGCUGUACCUGACGCUGAGACACGAAAGCGUGGGGAGCAAACCGG
Molecule: ribosomal RNA, 406 nt
Filed under: uncultured bacterium
Lineage: Bacteria
Description: bacterial SSU rRNA
Rfam family: Bacterial small subunit ribosomal RNA
Source: RNAcentral